UGGGGAAUAUUGCACAAUGGGCGCAAGCCUGAUGCAGCCAUGCCGCGUGUGUGAAGAAGGCCUUCGGGUUGUAAAGCACUUUCAGCGAGGAGGAAGGUGGUGAGCUUAAUACGCUCAUCAAUUGACGUUACUCGCAGAAGAAGCACCGGCUAACUCCGUGCCAGCAGCCGCGGUAAUACGGAGGGCGCAAGCGUUAAUCGGAAUUACUGGGCGUAAAGCGCACGCAGGCGGUUUGUUAAGUCAGAUGUGAAAUCCCCGGGCUCAACCUGGGAACUGCAUUUGAAACUGGCAAGCUAGAGUCUCGUAGAGGGGGGUAGAAUUCCAGGUGUAGCGGUGAAAUGCGUAGAGAUCUGGAGGAAUACCGGUGGCGAAGGCGGCCCCCUGGACGAAGACUGACGCUCAGGUGCGAAAGCGUGGGGCAGCAAACAGGAUUAGAUACCCUGGUAGUCCAGCGCUGUAAACGAUGUCGAUUUGGAGGUUGUGCCCUUGAGGCGUGGCUUCCGGAGCUAACGCGUUAAAGUCGACCG
Molecule: ribosomal RNA, 527 nt
Filed under: uncultured bacterium
Lineage: Bacteria
Description: partial 16S ribosomal RNA
Rfam family: Bacterial small subunit ribosomal RNA
Source: RNAcentral